RNAcentral lists this ribosomal RNA (459 nucleotides) under uncultured bacterium. RNAcentral's name for it is "partial 16S ribosomal RNA". It matches the Rfam family "Bacterial small subunit ribosomal RNA", at positions 338 to 795 of the family's 1533-position model. The record is from RNAcentral.
CCUACGGGAGGCAGCAGUGAGGAAUAUUGGUCAAUGGUCGGGAGACUGAACCAGCCAAGCCGCGUGAGGGAUGAAGGUACAGAGUAUCGUAAACCUCUUUUGUCAGGGAACAAAGGCGGGGACGUGUCCCCGGAUGAGUGUACCUGAAGAAAAAGCAUCGGCUAACUCCGGGCCAGCAGCCGCGGUAAUACGGAGGAUGCGAGCGUUAGCCGGCUUUAUGGGGUGUAAAGGGUGCGCAGGCGGCCUGUUAAGUCUGCGGUCAAAGCCCGGGGCUCAACCCCGGCCCGCCGUUGAAACUGGCAGUCUCGAGUUGGAGAGAAGUAUGCGGAAUGCGCGGUGUAGCGGUGAAAUGCAUAGAUAUCGCGCAGAACUCCGAUUGCGAAGGCAGCAUGCCGGUUCCACACUGACGCUGAGGCACGAAAGCGUGGGUAUCGAACAGGAUUAGAUACCCGAGUAGUC